GGACCCGCACAAGCGGUGGAACAUGUGGUUUAAUUCGAUAACAAACGAAGAACCUCACCAGGACUUGACAUCUAUGGAAUCUCUAAGAAACUAGAGAGUGCCGCAAGGAGCCAUAAGACAGGUGCUGCACGGUCGUCGUCAGCUCGUGCUGUGAAGUGUCCCGUUAAGUCGGUUAACGAGCGCAACCCCUAUUGCAUGUUGAAUUUUUCAUGCGAGACUGCCGGUGUUAAAUCGGAGGAAGGCGGGGAUGACGUCAGAUCAGCGUGGCUUUUACGUCCUGGGCUACACACGUGUUACAAUGGGUAGAACAAAGGGUCGCUAAAUCGCAAGAUGGAGCUAAUCCCAUUCAAAUCUAUCCUCAGUUCGGAUUGAGGGCUGCAACUCGCCCUCAUGAAGUCGGAAUCGCUAGUAACCGUAGGUCAGCUAUACUACGGUGAAUACGUUCUCGGGUCUU
RNAcentral lists this ribosomal RNA (454 nucleotides) under uncultured bacterium. Its description in RNAcentral is "bacterial SSU rRNA". It matches the Rfam family "Bacterial small subunit ribosomal RNA", at positions 917 to 1382 of the family's 1533-position model. The record is from RNAcentral.